GAUGAACGCUGGCGGCGUGCCUAAUACAUGCAAGUCGAGCGAACAGACGAGGAGCUUGCUCCUCUGACGUUAGCGGCGGACGGGUGAGUAACACGUGGAUAACCUACCUAUAAGACUGGGAUAACUUCGGGAAACCGGAGCUAAUACCGGAUAAUAUAUUGAACCGCAUGGUUCAAUAGUGAAAGACGGUUUUGCUGUCACUUAUAGAUGGAUCCGCGCCGCAUUAGCUAGUUGGGAAGGUAACGGCUUACCAAGGCAACGAUGCGUAGCCGACCUGAGAGAGUGAUCGGCCACACUGGAGCUGAGACACGGUCCAGGGUACUGCGGGAGGGAGCAGUAGGGAAUGUGCCGCAAUGGGCGGAAGCCUGACGGAGCGACGGCACGUGAGUGAUGAAGGUCUUCGGAUCGUAAUACUCUGUUAUUAGGGAAGAACAAAUGUGUAAGUAACUAUGCACGGCUUGACGGUACCUAAUCAGAAAGCCACGGCUAACUACGUG
Molecule: ribosomal RNA, 497 nt
Filed under: uncultured bacterium
Lineage: Bacteria
Description: partial 16S ribosomal RNA
Rfam family: Bacterial small subunit ribosomal RNA
Source: RNAcentral